CACAGGAAGGCCAAAAAGAUCAUCAAGGACAACAACCACCCGAGCCACUGCCUGUUCACCCCGCUAUCAUCCAGAAGGCGAGAUGCCCAGAGAAUAAGAGGCUAUGGGUUUUCUGGCUUUUCCAGAAUGGAAGUUGCGCAGAGGCAAACAGGUGGCAGCUAUCCCCAGGAUCAAUUCAGACCAGCCUCUCGUGGCUCUAUCCCCAGCAGCUUUACCUCUGCCCAGACAAAGGGUAAGAGGACCCGUGCCAAGAAUACUGACAUUAGCCUCUCUGGUUCUAUAGCCAGUGGCGCCUCUGCCAUCCACAACAUGCAUCAAACCAAGGCCAGCAGAACCUAUAGUCAAAGUGUCUCUGACCCCAGUGCAGUAAGGCCAGUUUCAAGUUGGGAGGCAAAGAGAAUUCAGCCCUACACUCUUCAUCCAGUACAGCCUCACUCCAGCAGCUCUGGUUUAGUCCAGAAUCCAUAUGGUAUGUUUAAUGUCCACAGUAGACCUGCCUCUAACCUGAAACCAUCUACUCCAAACUAUGGCUCUACCCAGAGUGGAUUGAAGUUCUCCACCUCCAGACAACCCAACCAAGGCCUUGUCCAGACUCAGAGUAGAGGAGCCCCCAGCCUCUAUGGUCAAGCUGCUACCCUCACCCGCUAUGUCCAGGACCUGGAGCAAGGGAGCAGCUUCUCUACCCUGGCUUCCAAGGGACCAAUAGAAAUCUCUGCCCAGUCAAUUUCCACUCCUGACCGUCAAGUUCCCUCAAGUGGUUCUUCAUUUAGACCAGGUCCUCUGAGUUUUGGUUCUACUCAAGGUGGGAGUGCAGCAAAAAGCUACAAGCCUAGCUUCUCCCAAGAUGUUAUGCAAUACCAGAGCAGCUCUGCCAGUAGAAGUGUUUCAACUUCCAAUCAAUAUGCCCAAACAUCUGGCCAGAGACUAGAUGGAGCAAGUCGCGGCAUGCCCACUUCCAGCCUGGCCUCUCGCUCCAGUCUUUUUCGCCCUAGCUCUACAGCUUGUGGAAACUCUUAUGGAGCCUUCAAGCCUGGCUCUGACCCUGGUGCAACACCAAGCCAAAGCCUGUUUACCUCUAACCAGGGUGGAAGGGGUUCAACAUACAGCCAGAAUCUCCUUGCUAAACGUGCCCAAAGGAAGUAUGGCCAAAUGUCUGCUCAUUGGGGGAGCUACCAGCCCAGCUAUGCUGCCAGUAGUGGGCCAGUCUCCAGCCUCUUCAGUUCAACAUUCAUCCAGAAUGCUCCUGCCACAGCCCAGAAGACUGGGGGCAGGUUUAGAGCCACUUGACAACACUAUCAGCCCAGCUAAUGAAGUGAAGUCCAACACUAGCUCUCCCAGAAGUCCCACCCAGAUCCUCUUGUCUAGUAGCUAUGGCCCUACCCUGAGCAGGACCAGCAGUGCCAUCUCAUCCACCCCUCAACGCUUUGCCCAGACCAGCAUCCCAGAAUUGUACGGCGGAUCUCCAAUCUACUGGCUCAAAGACCCUACUCGGUAGGUGUAGUGCCUCCCCUAGCAACUCAACCCAGCUCUUCAAGUGUCGGCAAGCCACAGCCAAACCACACUAUCUGCCAAGCAGAAAGGCCCCAACACUACCUAUGUCUGAGUCCAGAGCUUUAGGGGAGUCCAGAACAUGACGAAGUGGGAUCUGUAGCCACCAGUUGAGGUGAGAUUUCAGUUUCUCUGUAUUGUUAUGCCACUUGGGCUGUGUAGGUUUA
This 1715-nucleotide long non-coding RNA is filed under the name Salmo salar (Atlantic salmon). Its description in RNAcentral is "lncRNA (ENSSSAG00000121357.1)". Lineage: Eukaryota; Metazoa; Chordata; Actinopteri; Salmoniformes; Salmonidae. The record is from RNAcentral.